This 373-nucleotide long non-coding RNA is filed under the name Eutrema salsugineum. RNAcentral's name for it is "long non-coding RNA (ESAL_LNC000724)". The record is from RNAcentral. Lineage: Eukaryota; Viridiplantae; Streptophyta; Magnoliopsida; Brassicales; Brassicaceae.
AAGGGAACGUUGUCUUACUCGACAGGUGCUCAAUACACCAAGAUGAUAUGCUCAUCCGCUCGUGGCUGGUCAGAUUUCUUUCUCAAUCCAUGGGCUGAGGAGGCGGUAGAAUUUAGAUCAAAGUAAGCUUUUUUUUUUGUGUCAUGAUCAUGUUAGUUUUAUUUAGAUGUCUGUUUAUAGAUUUCUUGGUUAACACUAAAACAUUUGCAAUCCUCUGUUUUGCAGCUUCGUGCGAAAGACAGAUCAAGGAUCCGUCAUCAAUCCUUAUUAGCCCAUGUAUCCAAGUCGCUAUGUCCCAUUUUUCAUCUAUUCGGCCCUAGGCAUGAACUAUUUUUCGGUUAUCCUGGAUUUAUAUUCUGAAUUUUAUAAGCAC